This 253-nucleotide ribosomal RNA is filed under the name uncultured bacterium. RNAcentral describes it as "partial 16S ribosomal RNA". It matches the Rfam family "Bacterial small subunit ribosomal RNA", at positions 524 to 776 of the family's 1533-position model. The record is from RNAcentral.
UACGGAGGGUGCAAACGUUGCUCGGAAUCAUUGGGCGUAAAGCGCACGUAGGCGGCCUGUUAAGUCGGGUGUGAGAGCCCUGGGCUCAACCCAGGAAGUGCACUCGAAACUGGCGGGCUUGAAUAUGGAAGAGGGUCGCGGAAUUCCCGGUGUAGAGGUGAAAUUCGUAGAUAUCGGGAGGAACACCAGUGGCGAAGGCGGCGACCUGGGCCAAUAUUGACGCUGAGGUGCGAAAGCGUGGGGAGCAAACAGG